CUUUCGUGCAACAGAAGGUCAUGAACCUCGUCAGAUCCGGAAGGAAGCAGCGAUAAGUGAUAUCAUCUGUGUCGUGGUUUGAU
RNAcentral lists this signal recognition particle RNA (83 nucleotides) under Desulfobacteraceae bacterium 4572_130. RNAcentral describes it as "signal recognition particle sRNA small type". It matches the Rfam family "Bacterial small signal recognition particle RNA". Rfam says of the family: The signal recognition particle (SRP) is a universally conserved ribonucleoprotein involved in the co-translational targeting of proteins to membranes. Archaeal SRP consists of a 7S RNA and homologues of the eukaryotic SRP19 and SRP54 proteins. In most bacteria, the SRP consists of a 4.5S RNA and the Ffh protein (a homologue of the eukaryotic SRP54 protein). Lineage: Bacteria; Pseudomonadati; Thermodesulfobacteriota; Desulfobacteria; Desulfobacterales; Desulfobacteraceae. The record is from RNAcentral.